Molecule: ribosomal RNA, 722 nt
Filed under: uncultured endophytic bacterium
Lineage: Bacteria
Description: bacterial SSU rRNA
Rfam family: Bacterial small subunit ribosomal RNA
Source: RNAcentral
ACUCCUACGGGUGGCAGCAGCAGGGAAUCUUGCGCAAUGGGCGAAAGCCUGACGCAGCGACACCGCGUGGGGGAUGAAGGCUCUUGGGUCGUAAACCCCUUUUGUCGGGGAAGAGAAAGGACGGUACCCGACGAAUAAGGUUCGGCUAACUACGUGCCAGCAGCCGCGGUAAUACGUAGGAACCGAGCGUUGUCCGGAUUUACUGGGCGUAAAGUGCGCGUAGGCGGUUUGUUAAGUCUCAUGUGAAAUCUCCCGGCUCGACUGGGAGGGGUCAUGGGAUACUGGCAGACUUGAGUGUGGCAGAGGGGAGUGGAAUUCCCGGAGUAGUGGUGGAAUGCGUAGAUACCGGGAGGAACACCAGAGGCGAAGGCGACUCCCUGGGCCAUGUCUGACGCUGAGGCGCGAAAGCGUGGGUAGCAAACCGGAUUAGAUACCCGGGUAGUCCACGCCCUAAACGAUGGAUACUAGAUAUGGGGGGUAUCGACCCCCUCCGUGUCGCAGCUAACGCAAUAAGUAUCCCGCCUGAGGAGUACGGCCGCAAGGCUAAAACUCAAAGGAAUUGACGGGGACCCGCACAAGCAGCGGAUCGUGUGGUUUAAUUCGAUGAUAAGCGAAGAACCUUACCAGGGCUUGACAUGCUUCCGACAGGCUGGGAAACCAGCCCUUCCUUCGGGACGGAUGCACAGAUGUUGCAUGGCUGUCGUCAGCUCGUGUCGUGAGAU